AGUGACGAUAGCCUAGGAGAUACACCUGCACCCAUGCCGAACACAGAAGUUAAGCCCUAGAACGCCGGAAGUAGUUGGGGGUUGCCCCCUGUGAGAUAGGGAAGUCGCUUAGCU
This 114-nucleotide ribosomal RNA is filed under the name Streptococcus pneumoniae. The record is from RNAcentral. Lineage: Bacteria; Bacillati; Bacillota; Bacilli; Lactobacillales; Streptococcaceae.